This is a long non-coding RNA of Gadus macrocephalus (Pacific cod), 1417 nucleotides long. RefSeq lists it as uncharacterized. Lineage: Eukaryota; Metazoa; Chordata; Actinopteri; Gadiformes; Gadidae. The transcript has 2 exons. The record is from RefSeq and is a predicted model, not a curated record.
GUUUAGCUUUGAUUUAUCCUUACCUUUUCAUGUGACCCAUUCCCCUUAGGUUCAAUUAAGUUGACCUCUCCUUCAGGCGACUUAAAGGGAGACCAGAUGUGCGGCAGCUGGGUGUCAUGGUGCAGAGACCCAACGCUGUACUGAACUACACCAGUGUGUCCUACUCCCCAUAAACCCUGAGGAUCCCUGGCUACACCAGCACAUUAAUCCACACCCAACAUUAACACACAGUGCACACUCUAUAGAGCUUGUAAGUCCGCCCCUUGCGGCGGGACCUCUUGAGAUCGUAAAAUAUGACUGGGUUUCAAUGGAGAGAAAGUAAUUAUUUUCUCCAUUAUGUUGCACCACAUUUUGGGGGAAGAAUGUUUGAAUCAAUCUUUGUCAUUUAUUUCUGUACUCCACAUCUGUAAUCCCAGCUGUUGUAUUUUAACACGGUAGCUGGGAACCCUCUUUAUAGGGAGCGGCUAGAGGGACGAGGCUGGAAGCAAACCUGAGCCUGGAUCUUAACCUUCUUUCUAAACCUAAUGCCGCAAUUUAACCGCAAAUAAAGUGAGGCCUAAAGUAACUUGACUCUCUUACCUAAACUUGCUUGCCUAAACUCGCUUGUCUAAACUCGCUUGCAUAAAACCUAAACUCGCUUGCAUAAAACCUGAACUUGCUUGGCUAAACUCGCGUCGCUUGCCUAAUACCUGAACUUGCUUGCCUAAACUCGCUUGCCUAAUGCCUGAACUCGCUUGCCUAAUACCUAAACUCGCUUGCCUAAACUCGCUUGCCUAAACUCGCUUGCCUAAACUCGCUUGCCUAAUACCUGAACUCGCUUGCCUAAACUCGCUUGCCUAAUGCCUGAACUCGCUUGCCUAAACUCGCUUGCCUAAACUCGCUUGCCUAAACUCGCUUGCCUAAUACCUGAACUCGCUUGCCUAAACUCGCUUGCCUAAACUCGCUUGCCUAAACUCGCUUGCCUAAUACCUGAACUUGCUUGCCUAAACUCGCUUGCCUAAUACCUGAACUCGCUUGCCUAAUACCUGAACUCGCUUGCAUAAAACCUAAACUCGCUUAGCUUGACUCGCUUGGCUAAACUCGCUUGCAUAAAACCUAAACUCGCUUGCCUAAUACCUGAAGUCGCUUGCCUAAUACCUGAAGUCGCUUGCCUGAAGUCGCAUGCCUAAUACCUGAAGUCGCUUGCCUAAACUCGCUUGCCUAAAGCCUAAACUUGCUUGUCCAAACACGUUACACAAAGUUAACCAUCCAUAAUCUUUAACCCAAACCAGACUUGUCCCUGGGUCGCUCCACUUUAAUUUAGAAGUUUCUUCUUUUACCUCAUCUGCGUUUUGAGUUUCAUUCUUUGAGGGCUUGAAGUGCUUUGGAGGAUAUUUGAACCUUUGUUUGCCGCAUCAAUAAACAUGCUUUAUCUUUA